AGGAAUAUUGGUCAAUGGGCGAGAGCCUGAACCAGCCAAGUAGCGUGCAGGAUGACGGCCCUAUGGGUUGUAAACUGCUUUUAUAAGGGAAUAAAGUGAGAGUCGUGACUCUUUUUGCAUGUACCUUAUGAAUAAGGACCGGCUAAUUCCGUGCCAGCAGCCGCGGUAAUACGGAAGGUCCGGGCGUUAUCCGGAUUUAUUGGGUUUAAAGGGAGCGUAGGCCGGAGAUUAAGCGUGUUGUGAAAUGUAGACGCUCAACGUCUGCACUGCAGCGCGAACUGGUUUCCUUGAGUACGCACAAAGUGGGCGGAAUUCGUGGUGUAGCGGUGAAAUGCUUAGAUAUCACGAAGAACUCCGAUUGCGAAGGCAGCUCACUGGAGCGCAACUGACGCUGAAGCUCGAAAGUGCGGGUAUCGAACAGGAUUAGAUACCCUGGUAGUCCGCACGGUAAACGAUGGAUGCCCGCUGUUGGUCUGAACAGGUCAGCGGCCAAGCGAAAGCAUUAAGCAUCCCACCUGGGGAGUACGCCGGCAACGGUGAAACUCAAAGGAAUUGACGGGGGCCCGCACAAGCGGAGGAACAUGUGGUUUAAUUCGAUGAUACACGAGGAACCUUACCCGGGCUUGAAUUGCAGAGGAAGGAUUUGGAGACAAUGACGCCCUUCGGGGUCUCUGUGAAGGUGCUGCAUGGUUGUCGUCAGCUCGUGCCGUGAGGUGUCGGCUUAAGUGCCAUAACGAGCGCAACCCCUCUCCUUAGUUGCCAUCAGGUCAAGCUGGGCACUCUGGGGACACUGCCACCGUAAGGUGUGAGGAAGGUGGGGAUGACGUCAAAUCAGCACGGCCCUUACGUCCGGGGCUACACACGUGUUACAAUGGCAGGUACAGAGAGACGGUCCCUUGCAAAAUGGAUCAAAUCCUUAAAGCCUGUCUCAGUUCGGACUGGGGUCUGCAACCCGACCCCACGAAGCUGGAUUCGCUAGUAAUCGCGCAUCAGCCAUGGCGCGGUGAAUACGUUCCCG
Molecule: ribosomal RNA, 1018 nt
Filed under: uncultured bacterium
Lineage: Bacteria
Description: bacterial SSU rRNA
Rfam family: Bacterial small subunit ribosomal RNA
Source: RNAcentral